Sapajus apella (tufted capuchin) is the source of this 1898-nucleotide long non-coding RNA. RefSeq lists it as uncharacterized. The transcript is spliced from 2 exons. NCBI's taxonomy places the organism in Eukaryota, Metazoa, Chordata, Mammalia, Primates, Cebidae. The record is from RefSeq and is a predicted model, not a curated record.
GUGUUUCUCAGGUCCAUGCUUACCUCCAGUGUUGGAGAUUAGAGAAAAUAUAGUUAUCUUAGUUACAGCUGGACUGGGAAAGCAGUGAGGUUGACACAUAAUGGAACCCCAGAUAGCUGGCAAAGCCUAAUUUCUGGGGUGUUUGCAAGAGUGUUUCUGGAAGACAUUAGCAUGUGAAUCUGUAGAUGGAGUAAAGAAGGUCACCCUCCCUGAUGUGGGUGGGCAUCAUCCAACCCAUUGAGGUCUGAAUAGAACAAGACGGUGUAAGAAGGAAAAAUUUGCUCUCUGCUUGAGCUGAGAUGUCCAUUUUCUUCUGCCCUUUAGAAUAGGCAUUCCUGGUUCUUGGGCCUUUGGAUAUGGACCUGGACUUAUCCCAUUGGCUGCCCUGAAUCUCAGGCCUUUGGGUUUGGACUAAAACGAUAGCACUGGCUUACCUGGACCUCCAGUUUGUAGAAAGCAGAUACCCUUCUCAGCCUCCAUAAUCAGAUGUGUUCCCAAGAGAUGAUUCAUCAACAUGAGACUACCAACAGAAGUUCAUAGCCAGGACCUAAUGUUCUGGAUAAACCCACAGGAUUACACUGAGAAGUGAGUAAAAGGAAUUUACUGCCUAUAUCUUCUUCUCCCCCAUCCCCUGGCCCAAAAUAGUAAAUCUCACAUAAUUUUAAUGGAACCUUAAAAUUCUUUAAGUUAAAAUUUAAAUUCAUAUAAAACUUCCUAUCAUAUUUCUUUAGAAUUUCAUAGAAUUUUUCUAUUAAUCUAUUCCCAAGUGAGAUACUACAAUGUUGCUUUUAAUUUUGAAUUUCCCAUGAGGUAAUAAAUAAGUUGAGAAUCUUCUUUUUUUUGCCCUAGUUAUGAAAGUAAAGCACAGGGUGUAAUCUUAGCUGCUGUUCUUUCAUUAUUUGGAAACUCUGUUCUUGGAAACAGCUAGCCUUUUGUGCCAGGGGACAUAUUCCUAAUUAUUUCAUAGAAUAAUUUGAUGUCACAUUUAGCCAGGGAUAAUUUCUUAUAGUCAUGAUUUGAUCAGAUGAUAAUUCACUGAAUUAAUCUAAUUAGACUUUAUCUCUCUUUGUCCUUUGUCUUUGGACAGAGGUGAUUAAAGUAAUACAUAUUCACUUAUAAUUUUUUAAAGCCACCAAGUUAAAAUUAAUUUUAAAAUAAUUUCUUAGCUGGAUUAUUUUUCUUAUUUGGUAACCAAACAGAAACACUAAAAGACAAUCUGUUAACUAGACAAAAACUUUUUUGAUUACAAAUAUAGUUUACCUUGAUGAUGGAGAUUAAAAUCUAAGUGGAGAUUACAGAAAUCUUGACUGCAAUUUAAUUUUGAUAUUUAAAUCCCAAGCCAUGGAUGACUUUUUUAUAUUCAGGAAAUAUGAAAAAGAGCUUGGCUCAUCUUGUUGUGCCCAAAAGUAAGAAAACAGUGGAAACAGAAUAAAACAAAACAAAAUGAUGCAGGUGAGGUAUGUCAAAUACACAUAGGAGCCAACUAAAGGAGAUCCUAAUGACUAAAGCUGGCACAAUUUGAACAGAAUAGGCAACAUUAUAUUAGGUCACAAAAUAAAUAUCCAUGAGUCUAUAGUGAUAGAAUAAUCAAAUAAAUAAAGAGAAUAAGCAAGUCUUGCCUGCUGACAAAUUAUAAAUAAAUUGAAUGUCUCUAAUAAUGCAGAUAAGCCUUCACUCAAAGAUGUGGAAGAUAAUUCCCUAUACCUCUAGUCUUUUUGCAUAAGCUGUAUACAGAGUAACUUGUUUCCACGGGUCAAUAUGGAAAAGGGGGAAAGAAGAAGUAACUUUACAAUGGAAAAUUUUAACAGGCACUGUCUCGUCAAACUACUGCAUGUCAAACUUAUUUCUGUGGUCUUUCCCCCCAGAUCCAUAGCCCCAGUGGAAUUAAAAAAAAAAAA